AAACAUGGUGGUCUGAUUAUUUAUAUAACAUCUGGCCUGCCCACUGAUUAUGAAGGGCCGCAGUAUACUGACUGUGCAAAGGUAGCAUAAUCAUUAGGUUUUUAAUUGAGAUCUGGAAUGAAUGGUUUUACGAAGCACUGACUGUCUCUAUUUAAUAUGAUUUAAUUUAACUUUUUAGUAAAAAGGCUAGAAUUUGAGUGUGGGACGAGAAGACCCUAUAGAGCUUAAUAGGCUAUUUUAUGGUACUUAUUGGAUUUAACUAAUUAUAAUGGAAUGUCCUAUUUAACUGGGGCGGUAUUGAGAUAAUUCUAACUCUUGUAUUGUUUAUAGUGAUGAUUAGACAAAAGAAUCAAAAUUUUUGAUUUAGAUAAAGUUACCUUAGGGAUAACAGCGUAAUUUAUUUGGAGAGUUCUUAUUGAUAGAUAAGUUUGCGACCUCGAUGUUGAAUUAAGAUUUCAUAAGGAUGUAGCAGUUUAUAAUGAUAGUCUGUUCGACUAUUAAAUUCUUACGUGAUCUGAG
Molecule: ribosomal RNA, 519 nt
Filed under: Myrmecophilus kinomurai
Lineage: Eukaryota; Metazoa; Arthropoda; Insecta; Orthoptera; Myrmecophilidae
Description: partial 16S ribosomal RNA
Rfam family: Bacterial large subunit ribosomal RNA
Source: RNAcentral